Molecule: long non-coding RNA, 388 nt
Organism: Polistes dominula (European paper wasp)
Lineage: Eukaryota; Metazoa; Arthropoda; Insecta; Hymenoptera; Vespidae
Source: RefSeq, a predicted model, not a curated record
UUUUAUUUAAUUUUAUUUUAUACAUCGUCAUCCUAAGGGUAGGAUACCCAUCCUGCAGUCAUCAAUCAAGAUUAAAAAUCAUUGCAAUCGUGCGUGCAGGCAAUGAAAUACACGUGUGUUGUAUCGCGUUAAAAUAAAAUAUAAAAAAGUCGACAAGUAGAUUCAGUGUUGAUCGUCGCAUGUUAAAGUUUCGUUUGCUYGGUUAAGAAACUCGCAAGUUUCUUUUAUUCGGUUUAAAAGUGUGCUCAUCGUCAUCCUCAGGGUAGGAUACCCAUCGUGCAUUCAUCAACGAAGAAAAAACAUCAUAGUUGGAAUAGUGUUCACAUUUCAUUCAUUAAAUUCAUUUAGAAAUUCGUUUAACACUAGAUUUGCUCACUAUUAUUUUGUU